UGGAGACAGUGUAAAGAAGUGUAUGGAGUGGAGAAAGGAGCCCAGUUUUCAAGGAGAGAGGUCUCUGUGUCAUGUGACCAGCCGGCUAAGUACACAGCCGGGUUAGAAGCACAACUAUGGAGGAAAGAGGUCCCAGCUGGGAAGGAAGUUAAACGUUUGGUCUGUAUUAGACAAGAAUCUAAUCAGACAAGAGCCAACACUAUCUUGAACUGAGCUGCUUAUUGGAUGAGGAUGGAUCCAGGAUGGCAUGGCUCUCUGAGGGAUGGUAUGCCACAGAGCAAACCGCAGCAAAAAGGUCCAAAAGACAAGACUGAAGCAAGACAUGGCCUCAUUACUGCAAUGAAAGUCAUCUCAAUUCAGGUUUGUCUUGACGGCUUCUCAAACGGAAGUUUGGUAGAAGAAAGAUAAAAGAAGAAGAAGGAAAGCAAAUCUAAGCAGUAACAACAAC
Balaenoptera acutorostrata (minke whale) is the source of this 448-nucleotide long non-coding RNA. RefSeq lists it as uncharacterized. The record is from RefSeq and is a predicted model, not a curated record. Lineage: Eukaryota; Metazoa; Chordata; Mammalia; Artiodactyla; Balaenopteridae. The transcript is spliced from 3 exons.